AGAGUUUGAUCCUGGCUCAGAACGAACGCUGGCGGCAUGCUUAACACAUGCAAGUCGAACGAAGGCCCGGGGCUUGCCCCGGUCACCUUAGUGGCGGACGGGUGAGUAACACGUGGGAACCUGCCCUGGAGCGGGGAAUAACCUCGGGAAACUGAGGCUAAUACCGCAUACGACCUCCGGGUGAAAGGCUUCGGCCACUCUUGGAUGGUCCCGCGUCUGAUUAGCUUGUUGGUGAGGUAACGGCUCACCAAGGCGACGAUCAGUAGCUGGUCUGAGAGGACGACCAGCCACACUGGAACUGAGACACGGUCCAGACUCCUACGGGAGGCAGCAGUAGGGAAUCUUGGUCAAUGGGCGCAAGCCUGAACCAGCGAUGCCGCGUGUGUGAAGAAGGCCUUCGGGUUGUAAAGCACUUUCAGUAGAGAAGAAAAGCCUACGGUUAAUACCCGUGAGUCUUGACGUUACCUACAGAAGAAGCUCCGGCUAACUCCGUGCCAGCAGCCGCGGUAAUACGGAGGGAGCGAGCGUUAAUCGGAAUUACUGGGCGUAAAAGCGCGCGUAGGCGGCAUUGUAAGUCGGAUGUGAAAGCCCUGGGCUUAACCUGGGAAUGGCAUUCGAUACUGCAGAGCUAGAGUAUGGGAGAGGAGAGCGGAAUUCCCGGUGUAGAGGUGAAAUUCGUAGAUAUCGGGAGGAACACCAGUGGCGAAGGCGGCUCUCUGGACCAAUACUGACGCUGAGAAGCGAAAGCGUGGGGAGCAAACAGGAUUAGAAACCCCGGUAGUCCUAGCCGUAAACGAAUGCACACUUGGUGUUGGUGGCAUAAAAACCAUCAGUGCCGCAGCUAACGCGAUAAGUGUGCCGCUUGGGGACUACGGUCGCAAGGCUAAAACUCAAGGGAAUUGACGGGGGCCCGCACAAGCGGAU
RNAcentral lists this ribosomal RNA (924 nucleotides) under uncultured Alphaproteobacteria bacterium. Its description in RNAcentral is "bacterial SSU rRNA". It matches the Rfam family "Bacterial small subunit ribosomal RNA", at positions 8 to 934 of the family's 1533-position model. The record is from RNAcentral. Lineage: Bacteria; Pseudomonadati; Pseudomonadota; Alphaproteobacteria.